CAGGCCUAACACAUGCAAGUCGAGCGAUGAAGCACCUUCGGGUGUGAAUUAGCGGCGAACGGGUGAGGAACACGUGAGAAAUCUGCCUUCAACUCUGGGAUAACUCCGGGAAACCGGGGCUAAUACCGGAUAUGAGCCUUGAUCGCAUGAUCGGGGCUGGAAAGUUUUUCGGUUGAAGAUGAUCUCGCGGCCUAUCAGCUUGUUGGUGAGGUAAUGGCUCACCAAGGCGACGACGGGUAGCCGGCCUGAGAGGGCGACCGGCCACACUGGGACUGAGACACGGCCCAGACUCCUACGGGAGGCAGCAGUGGGGAAUAUUGGGCAAUGGAGGAAACUCUGACCCAGCGACGCCGCGUGAGGGAUGAAAGCGUUCGGGUUGUAAACCUCUUUCAGUAGGGAAGAAGCGAAAGUGAC
Molecule: ribosomal RNA, 414 nt
Filed under: uncultured bacterium
Lineage: Bacteria
Description: bacterial SSU rRNA
Rfam family: Bacterial small subunit ribosomal RNA
Source: RNAcentral